This 492-nucleotide ribosomal RNA is filed under the name uncultured bacterium. RNAcentral's name for it is "partial 16S ribosomal RNA". It matches the Rfam family "Bacterial small subunit ribosomal RNA", at positions 29 to 507 of the family's 1533-position model. The record is from RNAcentral.
AGUGAACGCUGGCGGUAGGCCUAACACAUGCAAGUCGAACGGCAGCACAGUAAGAGCUUGCUCUUACGGGUGGCGAGUGGCGGACGAGUGAGGAAUACAUCAGAAUCUACUUUUUCGUGGGGGAUAACGUAGGGAAACUUACGCUAAUACCGCAUACGACCUACGGGUGAAAGCAGGGGAUCUUCGUACCUUGCGCGAUUGAAUGAGCCGAUGUCGGAUUAGCUAGUUGGCGGGGUAAAGGCCCACCAAGGCGACGAUCCGUAGCUGGUCUGAGAGGAUGAUCGGCCACACUGGAACUGAGACACGGUCCAGACUCCUACGGGAGGCAGCAGUGGGGAAUAUUGGACAAUGGGCGCAAGCCUGAUCCAGCCAUACCGCGUGGGUGAAGAAGGCCUUCGGGUUGUAAAGCCCUUUUGUUGGGAAAGAAAAGCAGCAGGUUAAUACCCCGCUGUUCUGACGGUACCCAAAGAAUAAGCACCGGCUAACUUCGUG